UAGGGAAUCUUCCACAAUGGACGAAAGUCUGAUGGAGCAACGCCGCGUGAGUGAUGAAGGGUUUCGGCUCGUAAAACUCUGUUGUUGGAGAAGAACGGGUGUCAGAGUAACUGUUGACAUCGUGACGGUAUCCAACCAGAAAGCCACGGCUAACUACGUGCCAGCAGCCGCGGUAAUACGUAGGUGGCAAGCGUUGUCCGGAUUUAUUGGGCGUAAAGCGAGCGCAGGCGGUUUUUUAGGUCUGAUGUGAAAGCCUUCGGCUUAACCGGAGAAGUGCAUCGGAAACCGGGAGACUUGAGUGCAGAAGAGGACAGUGGAACUCCAUGUGUAGCGGUGAAAUGCGUAGAUAUAUGGAAGAACACCAGUGGCGAAGGCGGCUGUCUGGUCUGCAACUGACGCUGAGGCUCGAAAGCAUGGGUAGCGAACAGGAUUAGAUACCCUGGUAGUCCAUGCCGUAAAACGAUG
Molecule: ribosomal RNA, 465 nt
Filed under: uncultured bacterium
Lineage: Bacteria
Description: partial 16S ribosomal RNA
Rfam family: Bacterial small subunit ribosomal RNA
Source: RNAcentral